RNAcentral lists this ribosomal RNA (433 nucleotides) under uncultured bacterium. RNAcentral's name for it is "partial 16S ribosomal RNA". It matches the Rfam family "Bacterial small subunit ribosomal RNA", at positions 29 to 507 of the family's 1533-position model. The record is from RNAcentral.
AACGAACGCUGGCGGCAUGCCUAACACAUGCAAGUCGAACGAGACCUUCGGGUCUAGUGGCGCACGGGCGCGUAACGCGUUGGAACCUGCCCUUAGGUUCGGAAUAACUCCCCGAAAGGGGUGCUAAUACCGGAUAAUGUCUUCGGACCAAAGAUUUAUCGCCUUUGGAUGGGCCCGCGUUGGAUUAGCUAGUUGGUAGGGUAAAAGCCUACCAAGGCGACGAUCCAUAGCUGGUCUGAGAGGAUGAUCAGCCACACUGGGACUGAGACACGGCCCAGACUCCUACGGGAGGCAGCAGUGGGGAAUAUUGGACAAUGGGGGAAAGCCUGAUCCAGCAAUGCCGCGUGAGUGAUGAAGGCCUUAGGGUUGUAAAGCUCUUUUACCCGGGAUGAUAAUGACGGUACCGGAAGAAUAAGCUCCGGCUAACUCCGUG